GACGAACGCUGGCGGCGUGCUUAACACAUGCAAGUCGAACGGAAAGGCCUCUUCGGGGGUACUCGAGUGGCGAACGGGUGAGUAACACGUGGGUGAUCUGCCCUGCACUUCGGGAUAAGCCUGGGAAACUGGGUCUAAUACCGGAUAGGACCACGGGAUGCAUGUCCUGUGGUGGAAAGCUUUUGCGGUGUGGGAUGGGCCCGCGGCCUAUCAGCUUGUUGGUGGGGUGACGGCCUACCAAGGCGACGACGGGUAGCCGGCCUGAGAGGGUGUCCGGCCACACUGGGACUGAGAUACGGCCCAGACUCCUACGGGAGGCAGCAGUGGGGAAUAUUGCACAAUGGGCGCAAGCCUGAUGCAGCGACGCCGCGUGGGGGAUGACGGCCUUCGGGUUGUAAACCUCUUUCAGCAGGGACGAAGCGCAAGUGACGGUACCUGCAGAAGAAGCACCGGCCAACUACGUGCCAGCAGCCGCGGUAAUACGUAGGGUGCGAGCGUUGUCCGGAAUUACUGGGCGUAAAGAGCUCGUAGGUGGUUUGUCGCGUUGUUCGUGAAAACCGGGGGCUUAACCCUCGGCGUGCGGGCGAUACGGGCAGACUGGAGUACUGCAGGGGAGACUGGAAUUCCUGGUGUAGCGGUGGAAUGCGCAGAUAUCAGGAGGAACACCGGUGGCGAAGGCGGGUCUCUGGGCAGUAGCUGACGCUGAGGAGCGAAAGCGUGGGGAGCGAACAGGAUUAGAUACCCUGGUAGUCCACGCCGUAAACGGUGGGUACUAGGUGUGGGUUUCCUUCCUUGGGAUCCGUGCCGUAGCUAACGCAUUAAGUACCCCGCCUGGGGAGUACGGCCGCAAGGCUAAAACUCAAAGGAAUUGACGGGGGCCCGCACAAGCGGCGGAGCAUGUGGAUUAAUUCGAUGCAACGCGAAGAACCUUACCUGGGUUUGACAUGCACAGGACGCCGGCAGAGAUGUCGGUUCCCUUGUGGCCUGUGUGCAGGUGGUGCAUGGCUGUCGUCAGCUCGUGUCGUGAGAUGUUGGGUUAAGUCCCGCAACGAGCGCAACCCUUGUCUCAUGUUGCCAGCGGGUAAUGCCGGGGACUCGUGAGAGACUGCCGGGGUCAACUCGGAGGAAGGUGGGGAUGACGUCAAGUCAUCAUGCCCCUUAUGUCCAGGGCUUCACACAUGCUACAAUGGCCGGUACAAAGGGCUGCGAUGCCGCGAGGCUUAGCGAAUCCUUUUAAAGCCGGUCUCAGUUCGGAUCGGGGUCUGCAACUCGACCCCGUGAAGUCGGAGUCGCUAGUAAUCGCAGAUCAGCAACGUUGCGGUGAAUACGUUCCCGGGCCU
RNAcentral lists this ribosomal RNA (1340 nucleotides) under uncultured bacterium. RNAcentral's name for it is "bacterial SSU rRNA". It matches the Rfam family "Bacterial small subunit ribosomal RNA", at positions 28 to 1381 of the family's 1533-position model. The record is from RNAcentral.